Molecule: long non-coding RNA, 2075 nt
Organism: Mustela putorius furo (domestic ferret)
Lineage: Eukaryota; Metazoa; Chordata; Mammalia; Carnivora; Mustelidae
Source: Ensembl
AUGCCGGAGAUGGAGGGACCUUGGCUCUCAGCAGCGGGAUGCGAAAAAGCCUCUACCCAGCCUAUCAUCCAUACAGAUGUUGGCGGUCUUACCCUUGGCCAUCUGCAGUGUCUUGGUGAGUGCAAUCAGCUCCAUUUUUUGCGCCGAGGUUCCGUGUGGCAGGGCUGCCAUCCAGAGUUUCUGCUCAGGAGAAACCACUGCAGCCCCCACAUACCUCUUUCCAUCGACCAUGUAGCUACUCCUGUCUGUGAACAGAGUCAUCUCCACAUCUGGGAGGGGAGUGUCUCCGAGAUCCGGCCUUAUUCCUGCGACCUGGGUUCCCGCAGUCUUGUGGGUGGUCAGCCAGCUCCUCUGGCAGCAACGUGGCUGGAUUUAGCACCACUGAGGGCCAGAAAGUCACUUUCAGUUCUUUGAGGAGAAGGGCCUAAUAACCUGUCACUUGGGCGUUCGUCAUCCACUGGUCUGGUAGAGUCCAGAGAACUCGAUAGCGUGGAUGGUGGUCAAGAUGAGAUUUUGACCCAAAAUCAAUUACUUGCAUCCUUGACCAGGAGGGCCGUGGCAGCAAUUAUGUGGAGGUAAGGGAGGAACCCAGCCACUACUGGAUCUAGUUUCUUGCUUAGAUAGGCUACUGGCCUUUGCCAAGGCCCCAGAGUCUAAGUCAAAACUCCUUUGGCCACCCCUACCUUUUCAUCCACAUACAAGAGGAAGGGCUUGGUAACAUCUGGGAUAACCAAUGUUGGGCACACAGUAAGGCUGUAUGUAAUUUUCAAAAUGCUCCUUCUGCCUCAGCUGUCCACUCUACCAUAGUGAGUCCUCCCUUAGUUCGUAGAGAGGUCAGGCACUCUCCGUGAACCGUGGCAUCCAUGGCCUGCAGUAGCCCACUGUCCCAAGAAACUCCCUCGGGGCGUGGUGGAGCCGGGGGUAUGGGGUGAUCACCUGUUUCCUGGACUCAGACAGCGAACACACUCUCUCAUGGAGAUCAGAGCCUAAAUAAGUGUUGUGGCUCUGACAGAGCUGUGCUUUCUUUGCUGACACCUGAUACCCUUUUCCCUGCAGAGUCUGUAAGAGAACUCUGGUCCCCUGCCAGCAUGACUCAUAGUCCUCAGCGGCUAUUUCUGCUAUUCCCACUAACUCAGUCAGAUUCUUCCCUUCAAAUCCUUCAACUUUCUGAAGUUUCCUUCUUAUAUCUGGGGCUGACUGGCAAAGGCAAGAUCGUCUAAAGGAGCUAUUGUGCAACUUCUUUGAAGUUUACCUCAAGUUGUCUAGCUAGGUAAACAAACAUUUAAAGACAACCAAAUCUAGAAUUUAACAUCCAUAAGGGUGUGCUAUUAAAACAUAACUUUUCCCUCUAAAAUAACCCUCAUUUCCAGAGAUAGCCAAGUCAGGACUAAUUUAUUUGAAAAAUGAGUCUAGUUUUAACAAAUUUGGCCUAAUUAUUUACAUAAGCUCAGCAAGAACAGUGACGAUUUGCUUUUAAGUAAGUUCCCAUGGGUGAGGGGGCAGUGUCAGUUUAAGUUUUACUGCAUAAACAACAAAAUCACUGUUUAACCAGAUGGAAUUGCUCUGGCUAAAUAGGCCCUUAUAGUUCCUAACUCUCUUUUCCUAGGUCACGGUGUCUGCCAUUCUCAGGGAGUAGACCCCAACUACAAAACACUCUGGACAGAGCCCCGGGGAAACCCGUCGCUUCCUGCUCUACCCAUGACCCCCAUCCACACCCGCCCCUCCCCUCCCAUGGACACAGCUGCAGUCCUGUCACACCCAGAAAGGGCCUGGCCCAGGUGGACAGGAACUCGGGCCGACAUUUCUCAAGAUGUCUGGCCCCUCUCCUCCCUUGCAGAAUGAAUCAACUCUUCCGUGUUCUCUCCUCUCUAGACAAUUGCCACCCAUGGUGACGGCCCACCUAAGAGGGAUAGCAUACUUUUAUACUUAAAAGUCUUUUAGGUACAUGUUCAAAAAGCGAUCUAAAAUACAUGUCUUUCUGGGACGCCUGGGUGGCUCAGUUGGUUAAGCAGCUGCCUUCGGCUUAGGUCAUGAUCCCAGCGUCCUGGGAUCGAGUCCCACAUCAGGCUCNNNNN